UCGCGAAAACUUUGCAAUACACGAAAGUGUGACAGGGCUAUCCCGAGUGCCAUCCGCUGAGGAAGGCUUUUACCCAGUCUAGUAAGCUGGGGGAAUAAGGAGAGGGCAAGUCUGGUGUCAGCCGCCGCGGUAAUACCAGCUCUCCGAGUGGUGUGGAUGUUUAUUGGGCCUAAAGCAUCCGUAGCUGGCUGAGUUAGUCCCCUGUUAAAUCCACCGAAUCAAUCGUUGGAUUGCGGGGGAUACUGCUCGGCUAGGGGACGGGAGAGGCAGACGGUAUUUCCGGGGUAAGGGUGAAAUCUUAUAAUCCCGGGAAGACCACCAGUGGCGAAGGCUGUCUGCUAGAACGCGCCCGACGGUGAGGGAUGAAAGCUGGGGUAGCGAACCGGAUUAGAUACCCGGGUAGUCCCAGCCGUAAACGAUGCAGGCUAGGUGUUUGGGCGGCCACGUGCCGCUCUAGUGCCGCAGGGAAGCUGUUAAGCCCUCGCCCUCGGGAGGGUACGAAGUCGCCGAACGAAGUUAGUAACGUUAAAACGGUAAAGUUAGGUCGGGGGACGGGGACCG
RNAcentral lists this ribosomal RNA (561 nucleotides) under uncultured crenarchaeote. Its description in RNAcentral is "bacterial SSU rRNA". The stretch from base 1 to 486 matches the Rfam family "Archaeal small subunit ribosomal RNA", at positions 339 to 828 of the family's 1478-position model. The record is from RNAcentral. Lineage: Archaea; Thermoproteati; Thermoproteota.